Molecule: regulatory RNA element, 135 nt
Organism: Firmicutes bacterium CAG:791
Lineage: Bacteria; Bacillati; Bacillota
Rfam family: FMN riboswitch aptamer (RFN element)
About the family: The RFN element is a highly conserved domain that is found frequently in the 5'-untranslated regions of prokaryotic mRNAs that encode for flavin mononucleotide (FMN) biosynthesis and transport proteins. This element is a metabolite-dependent riboswitch that directly binds FMN in the absence of proteins. In Bacillus subtilis, the riboswitch most likely controls gene expression by causing premature transcription termination within the 5' untranslated region of the ribDEAHT operon and precluding access to the ribosome-binding site of ypaA mRNA.
Source: Rfam
AAUGUUUUUCAGGGCAGGGUGCAAUUCCCUACUGGCGGUACAGUCCGCGACCCUGCGGCGUCAGAAGCUGACGGUGCAGGCUGAUUCGGUGCAAGUCCGAAACCAACAGUACAGUCUGGAUGGAAGAAGAAUGAA